GACUAAGCAAGCUCUCGGGUUAGCGCUCCGGCCCUCGCCUAUUGCCCAGCGGGAGGAGCCGGUAUUUCCGGAUUGGAGUCUCAGACCCUGGGAUCCCGGCUAAGGGCGAAGGGGAAGGGAAGCCGAUCAUAAAAGCUAACUUUUCACCAAAAUCGUUAACCUGCUUCCCAUCCCCUAGACAAAAACAAAGACCCCCAAACACACGCAACAGCCCACAACCAUCCUUCCCGUGGUCUGUUGACGGUAACAGGAGCUGACCCCUUCCUUGCCAACAUCCCUGGAGAGGUUCAAGAAGCAGACCUGGGCACGAAUAAAGAAAGCAGCACAGCGAAUUCCGCGCGCCCUCGGCGGGAAGAAAGCUCGGCGGCAGUUUCACAGAGAAGGGAAGAGGCGGGGCAGCGGGCGCGCCGGCUCGGGGACAAGGCGGCCGCGGCCCCUGCCCCAUCGCUGGGUGGCGUGUGAGGCUCCCCUCCGUCCUUCCCGACACCCCAAAGUAGAGCUUCGAGAAGCUGCGUCGGCCUCCCCGAGCUCGCACGCCGGGCACCCUCGGGGUCUCCGGGAAGCAGGUGACAGCCGUGGCCCACCCGUGUCCCCUCCGGGCCUCCGCUCUCUGGCUCGCCGCCGUCCAACACUCCCUGCCCCCAGCCUGGAUAUUUUUUUUUUUCUUUCUCCCAAACCUCCUAACAGGAAAUAGUUUGGGUCACACUAAUACACGGGAGCAGCGGCCGAGGCCACUCGCGCGCGCCCACUCCCGGGGCAGCCUCCUGCACUCCGGCGCGGGCGAGGCGCCGCCGGCGACAAGCGCGGGGAGCGCAGGGGCCACCCGCCCAGCAGCCGGUGCCGCCUCGGAUGCGCCCGAGCGCCGCCCGCGCCCUGUGCCGGACUCCGCCGACUGCCCCCAGAUGAGAAAACUGAAGCUCAGAGAGAUUGAAGGGUUUACAUGGACCUGGCUGCUUCAGAUUCCUCUUGUUCUCAGCCAGUAGAUCUACUGGUCUGGAUGACUUCCCUAGAGAGGUGAUCCAGACCUUUGUCCCAGCUACCAUGCCUUUCUCAAACUGUGGCUGCUUUACAUGUCCUUUUACUGUACCAAGAGAUGUUCAGUGGAUCACCUGAACGCCAAGGUCUUCCUCCCUGCCAGCAUUGUGUACCAGCAGCCCCACCUGCUCCUGAUAAUCAGCAUGAAUGACCCCUGCCAGGAGCAUGACUCCUCUCCUAGCCUGCUGGUCUCUGGGAACAAGGAUCCUGAAGAGUUGGGGCAGGAGCCAUAGCUCAAAGUUAAAUGAAACUCUUGCCAUGUUUCCUAAUGGGCACAUUCUCUCCCUGGAAACAGGCCCUCCAGACCAGCAUUGAUUGCCCAGAGUUACAAGAAAAGGAAGCACAAAUUCUCCAGGUGGCUCACUGAGAGUGAUGAUGGUGCUUGAUCUCUACAGAAGGAUCAAUAGUUCACUUCUAUGGUGAUCUUUCUUGGAAACAUCUUAAUUCUUCCUUCUUCCCUCUGUCUCUUUGGACUUUGCUUUUAGAGGAUAAGUUAGCUGAGCCUUUUCAGCCGUCACUUCUGCUUUGAAGCCAAGCAGCCUACCAGGUCCUUUGAAAGAGAAGGGGCCUCAUUCCUGGGUGCAAAAUUUAAAAAGGAGACUCAAUGAAGAAAGCUCACCCAGUCAUGCUUUUUGGGGGCUGGACCAAGCAAACAAUCACUUUAAGCCACUGGGUCUUUGUAUUUCUGGAAAAAAAGCACUUUGUUUGGACUAUGGGAGGCAUUUGGUGCUUUUUGUUUUUCCAAUUUAACUGCCCAAGGGCUCCAGCAGCCCCCUGAGUGACUAGGGUGCAGGCAAGAGACUCUCACGCGUGCCCAUGGAUUGGUUCUGGGUCCUGUCUUCUAUCCGAAGGAGAAAAACUGGAUCAUCACUCGCCCAUCUAUUAUUUCUCCUUGGAGUGACUCUCUAUCCAGAAUGCCCACAAAACCCUGGAUAAAGCUAAGAAAUUUGGAAGAAACAUGUAAGUUAAAACUAGCUCAAAGUCACUUGCUUCUUCUAUUUAUUUAUUUGGUCUAAGAUGAUUCCCACAUUCACUUACCAUAUGGCAUUAAAUCAUUCUGGUCCUUGAGUUAUUAUUACAUGAUUCAAAGAGUAUAAUUUACAGAAUUGCCAGCCCAGGCUGCACUCUGUCCCACACCAAAAAAAGACCACAAAGAGGGGAGAAGAAAAAUGACUGUUUCCUGGUAGCCCAUAUUUACGCAAUUUUCUCCCACCACAGAUUGUUUUGGCAGUCUAGACAGAGUCUUGUAAAAUCCUUCCCUGAUGUCAUCCACAUCCUUCCUUGAUAAGUUCAAAAUGAGUCCGGAGCAAGCAUGGCUCCUCCAGCAAUGUCAUACAAAUAAUUAGUGCAGUGCCACCCUGGAGAGCCCUUUGGAAUCCAGUGAUUUCCACAUGAAGGAACGGACUGAUGAGCUG
Equus caballus (horse) is the source of this 2450-nucleotide long non-coding RNA. NCBI's taxonomy places the organism in Eukaryota, Metazoa, Chordata, Mammalia, Perissodactyla, Equidae. The record is from Ensembl.